CCUACGGGAGGCAGCAGUAGGGACUCUUCCACAAUGGACGAAAGUCUGAUGGCGCAACGCCGCGUGAGUGAAGAAGGGUUUCGGCUCGUACAGCUCUGUUGGUAGUGAAGAAAGAUAGAGGUAGUAACUGGCCUUUAUUUGACGGUAAUUACUUAGAAAGUCACGGCUAACUACGUGCCAGCAGCAGCGGUAAUACGUAGGUGGCAAGCGUUGUCCGGAUUUUUUGGUUGUAAAGCGAGUGACGGGGGUUAAAUAAGUCUGAUGUGAAGGCCGUCGGCUCAACCGGAGAAUUGCAUCAGAAACUGUUGAACGUGAGUGCAGAAGAGGAGAGUGGAACUCCAUGUGUAGCGGUGGAAUGCGUAGAUAUAUGGAAGAACACCAGUGGCGAAGGUGGAUCUCUGGUCUGCAACUGACGCUGAGGCUCGAAAGCAUGGGUAGCGAACAGGAUUAGAUACCCGUGUAGUC
RNAcentral lists this ribosomal RNA (465 nucleotides) under uncultured bacterium. Its description in RNAcentral is "partial 16S ribosomal RNA". It matches the Rfam family "Bacterial small subunit ribosomal RNA", at positions 338 to 795 of the family's 1533-position model. The record is from RNAcentral.